Molecule: long non-coding RNA, 1492 nt
Organism: Gadus morhua (Atlantic cod)
Lineage: Eukaryota; Metazoa; Chordata; Actinopteri; Gadiformes; Gadidae
Exons: 2
Source: RefSeq, a predicted model, not a curated record
CUCGGAAACACCACCGUGCACAUUACUGCGUUGAGCCCGCCUCUCCGACGCUUUUUCAUUCGAUAGUUGCCUUUCAUGGGCGGAGAACACCACCUUAAUUUGACAGAGUAUUGGCCUGAGGUGAUGCCAGUAUUCGUCACAGUUCCCCAGGAUGCGGAGGCAGGGCGAAUGGGCAGGGCAGGGGGGCUCCUCUAGUGCAAAGUGAGCUCAACUUCUGUGAGGUGGUGGUGUGCAUUAUAUGUUAACCUCCACCUAAACUUUAGCAUUUCACUUUCAUUGUCUUGGAUGGAGAUAAAUUAAACUGAGCCUUCAGAUUUGAGUGAAGGCUGAUCCCUGCGACCCUUUUAAUUUCCCUCUGAAAGAGGACUUGGAAGCUGCGGCUAACCUGUUUUUGGGGAAGCCACAUUGGGCCGGUGUCGUGGGAGAUUCCUCAGCGCUGGAUGAAGACCUGUCCUGCACCCAAUCAAUGACAAUCCUUAAUAGGCCAACUGUACGUCGCUUGCUUAUCUGGUAUGUAGACCUAUACGCACCAUGAAUGCAGCUUUAGCAUAUGGACAACUGCUGUUAUAGGUCGGUCUUAUUUAUAGACACUACCCCGAUGUUGCCUUGACCAUCCCAUAAUGCCCUCUACUGUCAACACGUCAGGUGCUUUAUUCGUUUGGUAGCAUUUUAUCAGUGGCCUAUUUUAAUGUCAUCAUAACUUAUUUUUUAUCUCAAUGUACAGUUUGUUUUUAAAAUCAUAACUAACAUUUGUGUUUCGUUGCAGUCUUAUUGUCUCUGGUGUAAAUCCUUCUUAUAAAAGUGACCUGUUGUCCAUCAAUCAUAAUAUUUGACAUGCCAAUACUCCACCCUCAUCAGCCAUAAACAUUCAGAAUAUUAUUAUCAAACACAAACAUACACACACACCCUAAACUUAAUACGAUCACAACAUUAAUAUGAAUGUUUGUGAGCGUUAAUAACACGCUUUUUAGGCAACUCAUUUAUGUGGACUUUCAGAACGCCAGAAAGUUUUGAUUGAUGUUCCAUCGAAUUGAGUCAUAACUGGUAUGUUGUACAUAACCUACCAGAGAGCUGAGGGCUGUCCUCAGUGAAAUAAUUGAUUGUGUGGGAUUGGGUGUAAUAACAUUUAACACCCUUUGUGUUAGCUAUGCCAUUGAGCCAUUAAUAUUUCAUCUCUUUCUUGCUAAAACUACAGUUUUUCUAACUGGUUUCGUCAGUUGAUUUCUCUUGUAUACUAGUAUAAUGUCACAUGACCAGAUAUGGGGGCUCCUAUUGGUAUAGCAGCACUCAUGUUAAGGCAUCAGGAAAGUCAGACAUAGGCUGAUAGGUUGUCCAGGCUGUCAGAGAUUUGUGGCUUAUCCAACGUCAUGCCAAGCCACACACGUCUGGCUGUGAUCUGCCUAGUCCAUUUACACGACCAAAUCUGCCCAUUAAACCUGUAAGUCUGACUUUCUGCCUUCAAGGCACCACUAAAUAAAUACAAUUUACAUUG